RNAcentral lists this ribosomal RNA (460 nucleotides) under uncultured bacterium. RNAcentral describes it as "partial 16S ribosomal RNA". It matches the Rfam family "Bacterial small subunit ribosomal RNA", at positions 338 to 795 of the family's 1533-position model. The record is from RNAcentral.
CCUACGGGAGACUGCAGUGAGGAAUAUUGGUCAAUGGCCGGAAGGCUGAACCAGCCAUGCCGCGUGAAGGUCAGUGCCCUAUGGGCGUUAAACUUCUUUUGUGCGGGAGCAAUAAUGGUCACGUGUGGCCAGACGAGAGUACCGUACGAAUAAGCAUCGGCUAACUCCGUGCCAGCAGCCGCGGUAAUACGGGGGAUGCAAGCGUUAUCCGGAUUUAAUGGGUUUAAAGGGUGCGUAGGGUGGGAGGUAAGUCAGCGGUGAAAUGCCCCCGCUCAACGGGGUGAAGUGCCAUUGAUACUGCCUUGCUGGAAUGCGGAUGCGGUGGGAGGAAUGUGUGGUGUAGCGGUGAAAUGCAUAGAUAUCACACAGAACACCGAGUGCGAAGGCAUCUCACGAAUCCGCGAUUGACGCUGAUGCACGAAAGCGUGGGUAUCAAACAGGAUUAGAUACCCCUGUAGUC